This 253-nucleotide ribosomal RNA is filed under the name uncultured bacterium. RNAcentral describes it as "partial 16S ribosomal RNA". It matches the Rfam family "Bacterial small subunit ribosomal RNA", at positions 524 to 776 of the family's 1533-position model. The record is from RNAcentral.
UACGUAGGGGGCAAGCGUUGUCCGGAAUCAUUGGGCGUAAAGAGCGUGUAGGCGGUCCGGUAAGUCGGUUGUGAAAGCCCAGGGCUCAACCCUGGGAUGCCGACCGAUACUGUCGGACUAGAGUUCGGAAGAGGCGAGUGGAAUUCCCGGUGUAGCGGUGAAAUGCGCAGAUAUCGGGAGGAACACCGGUGGCGAAGGCGGGUCUCUGGGCCGAUACUGACGCUGAGGAGCGAAAGCGUGGGGAGCGAACAGG